This is a long non-coding RNA of Peromyscus californicus insignis, 4062 nucleotides long. RefSeq lists it as uncharacterized. The record is from RefSeq and is a predicted model, not a curated record. Lineage: Eukaryota; Metazoa; Chordata; Mammalia; Rodentia; Cricetidae. The transcript is spliced from 6 exons.
GGACAGAAGGCAGAGGACCAGCUUCCAGGCUCGCACUGCACUCUGCCAGAAUCUGUAUUCCAGGGCGAGCCCGCCAAGCCCUCCGCCUGCCUAGGAGGAGCUUCUAAGCAGGAAGGGCAGCCUUCACUAGCUGAACACUCUCUCAAAGGCCUGAAGCAAGGCGCGCGCCAAGGCUGCAGCCAACCCCAGGUCAUAACCCCAGGGGGCUGGGGCGCUGCAAGGGUUCCCCCCCAACCAUCCCAAUCCUCUCUCACAGGCACAGACCAGACAUUUGGCUCCAUGGCACAAACAGCACUCCCAGCAGGAGUAGCUUACAGUGUUUUGUAGCGGAGUUUCACACGGUUUCUCUCUGACAGAGCAGGCUUAGUUAGCAAUUUGGGUAAAAUGAGACAGAGCCGGCAGCAGCUAGCCUGCUGUAAUGUCGUCUUAUUCGGUUUCUUGGUGAUAAUUUUUCAAUCUUACAGUAAUUAGGACAACAGCCCAGGCUUAGUUAGCAAUUUGGGUACAAUGAGGCAGAGCCGGCCACAGCAGACUGCUGUAAUUUCCCUUAAAUGAUUUCUCUGUGAUAAUUUUUCAAUCUUGUAAUAUUUAGACCAAAAAAGCAGGCAUAGAUAGUCAGCAAUUUAGGUACAAUGAGGCAGAGCCGGCCGCAGCCAGGCUGUGUAAUUUCUUCUUAUACAGUAGUAAUUUUUCUCGGUGAUAAUUUUUCAAUCUUAUAAUAUUUAAGCCAAAGAGACAGGCAUGGUUAGCACUUUAGGUACAGUGAGGCAGAGCCGGCCGCAGCCAGGCUGUGUAAUUUCUUCGACGGUUUAUCGGCGAUCGUUUUUCGGUCUUCCGAAGUUCAUUUAUAACAGAAAUUGUUUAUCAGUUUGGGUAGAGUGAGGCAGAGCCUGCCUCCGCCAGUGAUCUGGCCCUCUUAUAGUCUAGCCACCCGGAGGCGGAGCCCUGCUGUCACUAGCUACUCCAGGGCGAGCAAAGCCCAAGGGGGGCGGUGUCUAAGGCGGAGGGUAAGCCCGAGAAGAAGAUGGUUUUAAUUACGUCGUUCUGAAAAGCCGAAACCGAACGCUACUGCGGAAAAGAAAAGGGUAAGCACAUCCACGAGCAAAAUGAGCCGAAGGCCGACCAGACCACUGAGAACCCACAGCGAAGUCCGGAAACACCUAAGCUAGGGGCCGACUAGCUGUGAAAAUCGCUGGCCUUCACUGAAGGAGAAGAAUGUCACUGUGGGGUUGGCAGGGAGAUGGACUCAACUGGAGAUAAUCACACUGAUUGAAAGAAGUCAGCCUCAGAACGGCAGGUCCCGCAGGUCUCUCAGAUGUGGCUCCUCCUACGUGUGCCACACACAUGGAAUACAGCAGGUUCUGAAGACAUGGGGCAUCUGGAGAAACUUCGUGGAGAACAGAGUGGCCUAAAGGGAGAAGAAAGAUGGGCUUAUAACGGCUGAGAGAUCCUGUGGGAUGUGGUCCAUCCAAGCAGGGCAGGCACAGCAGAAGGAAUAAGAGGCAUUCUAGAGCCACAGCUCCCUGUGGGGGUCGGGGAACAAACACCAAGAGUCAGCACUCCUUCCACCAUGGGUGUUGGAGGAUCAAGGUUGGAUUUUAAGGGGAUAGAUGCUGAGCAAGCCUGUGGAGGGUUGGUCUGGCUCCUCCACGUUGCUGUCUUUGUCCUUGUCCACCUCUCCUGGGGACAUUUGUGGCUUCUUCUGACUCUCACUCUGGAAGACAUCUGCACCCCUCUUCAUGGCACUGUUUGGUCUGGGGUGGUAUCUGAGGCAGUCCCAGCAAUCAAGUCCACAGGGAAGAGAAAAUAGUUCACACUCAACAGACCAACCCUCCUCAAAGCAGUGGCUUGGCUCUCCUAAGUAACACAGUGACCAGGACAUGGAAUACCGGGGACUCAGGGCUGGCAAGACAAGUGUCCUUCGAGGUGUGCUGUGAAGAAUAGACAUAUCUUCCACAAAACUGGAUGGAACUGCUCUGUGGACUUGGCUUUACCUGUAUAACACAGAGGACAAUUCCUUGAGCAUCUGUUUCAGAAGUCAGUUAUCUUUUUAUCCUCUAACUUCUAGACCCCUCCCAAUCAUUACACUGCAGGAUGCUGGGAUAUAAGUUCAUAUUCCCAGCAGUUACUUGCAUUGGAUAAGGAGUGAAGAUUCUGAAGGUCCUGGUCCUGAACACCUUUAAUCCCAGUUCUGGGUGGCCGGAUCUCUGAGUUCAAGACCACCCUGGUCUACAGAGAUAGUUCCAGGACAGCCUUGGCUACAUAGGGAAACCCUGUCUUGAAAGACAAACAAAUAAAAAAUGAAAACAAAACAAAAAAGAGUAAAAAUUCUCAAAAGCAAAAUCCUAUCAUCCCUGAUGUGAUUAUCUAUAUCUAUAUAUUGCAUUUAUGAGAAUGACUUACAGGCUGUGGUUCAACUAACUUCACAACAGCUGACUGUGAACUGAAAGACCCAGAGUCCAGAAGUUGCUCAGUCCACCAGGAUGGAUCUCAGCAGGUCUUCAGUAAUUCCUGGAAUCCUAAAGAAGUAUGUGCACAUUCCAAUGGGUGUCCCAUGAAGGGCACAGGCAUUGGAUCCCGUGGAGAUGAAGUUACAGAAGGCUGUGAGGAACCAUCUGAUUCUCAGCCUGAGAAGGAGAGUGCUGAUUCCACUUUCACUGAGACACAUAACCCUGCCUACUUUCAGGCACCUCAGAGUCAGGCUGAGCUGGACCAUGGUGUUUCCCUCCCUUUCGGUGCUUGCACAGACAGUCGAAGCUCAGCUGCUAAAGAUGGGCCAACACAUUCAAGGAAGUGCACUGUCCAGGUCACCAAACCAGUGCCUUCUACGUGGUUUCAGAUCUGAACAGCUGACUUACACCUGGUCCUUUUAUGGAACACAUAAGGAUCUUCUGCGUGGUGGAAUACAACGUGGGGAAAGACGCAUGACAACUUCUCAGGCCCAAACUCAAGGUUUGUGCCAGCCUUGAAGUCUUCAGCAGGUGUGUGGAAACCAAACCCUCCCUCCUCUCCCUGAAGGUGGAAGGGCUUGGCUGGAACCCAGGCCAGUGAGGAUGUCAAACCGCCUCAGGCUUGGACACCCAGCCCUGAAACUGCUGGCGGGCUGUUUCUUCACCACAGGGGCCAGCAGAGGACGCUGUGGAGCCAGCAUUCAGUCCCGCGGCUAUUCCGGAUGCUCAGAGCCUUAACUUGCAGUUUUCCGGACUGUAGACCGGUAUUUCUUGAUUGUCAAGUGUCUGCGAUUCCUCCCACGAGCCGACUUCCGAUCGGCUGCCAGCACGCCCGGGCUGCAGUCCGUCUGCGAUUUCAAACCGCGUCCGUCAUUUUCUUCCUAGGUCCUUUCGUAUUGCGGCCGGAAUCAGGCUCUGCCAGACAGCAUGCGGCGGGAAUCGACUAGAACCACGAACUAUGAUCCAGAAGGCUUUAGCAAAACGUUUGGCGUCCCGGUGCGAGCGCACACCCGGUGCGGUCAGGACGCCACGGUUUCGGUUCGUUUUCCAGUCCUAUACUCUCAGCUCGCCGUCGUUUCUAAUCGGUGGAAAUUCUUCCGAUUUCUUUCGUUAGCGGAUUGUGUGCCGACUGCAGUCGGCAAACUCAUUUUUUUCCGCCCAGCAAGCUUGAAUCCCUGAGCGCCUUCCAGAAGAGACAGGAGAAACCCGAGACUCCGGGAACUCGGAAGGACCCUGCAGGAGAACGGAUCACGGUGGAGAUGAAGCGCGGACCUUGUUCCAGAGCGCCCACCGUGGCGACGAGCUAGGCGACACAGACACAGGAGCACCCGGGAGUGCAGGCCGCCUGUCAAACGGAAUUGGGAGAGAAGACUGGGGGUUUGGCUCGGCCUCCUGGAGCGCAUCCCUGGUCGAGUCCGCUGCGGAGCUCUAGGGCUGCUGUGUACCGGUGUUUUGCAGCAGGAAGCCUUAGCGAGAUGCAGACGCCUUUCAGUGUUUUAGAGUGAGCGCUGUACCAUAAGGAUCGGCUCCUAAUCCUCUUCAUUCACUGCAGCGGGCUGUCUUCAGUACAGCCUGCUGCCUCCAAAAUAAACACACAGCGAUGCACCUUCGA